Molecule: ribosomal RNA, 253 nt
Filed under: uncultured bacterium
Lineage: Bacteria
Description: partial 16S ribosomal RNA
Rfam family: Bacterial small subunit ribosomal RNA
Source: RNAcentral
UACGUAGGGACCAAGCGUUGUUCGGAUUUACUGGGCGUAAAGGGCUCGUAGGCGGCCAACUAAGUCAUACGUGAAAUCCCUCAGCUUAACUGGGGAACUGCGUGUGAUACUGGAUGGCUUGGAUUUGGGAGAGGGAUGCGGAAUUCCAGGUGUAGCGGUGAAAUGCGUAGAUAUCUGGAGGAACACCGGUGGCGAAGGCGGCAUCCUGGACCAAUAUUGACGCUGAGGAGCGAAAGCCAGGGGAGCAAACGGG